UGGGGAAUCUUCCGCAAUGGACGAAAGUCUGACGGAGCAACGCCGCGUGAGUGAAGAAGGUUUUCGGAUCGUAAAACUCUGUCUUUUGGGGCGAACGUGAGUAUGGUGAACAAUCAUAGUCAGUGACGGUACCAAAGGAGGAAGCCACGGCUAACUACGUGCCAGCAGCCGCGGUAAUACGUAGGUGGCAAGCGUUGUCCGGAAUUAUUGGGCGUAAAGAGCGCGUAGGCGGGAUAGUCAGUCUGUUGUAAAGUGCGGGGCUCAACCCCGUGAUGGCAAUGGAAACAGCUAUUCUUGAGUGCAGGAGAGGAAAGUGGAAUUCCCAGUGUAGCGGUGAAAUGCGUAGAUAUUGGGGAGGAACACCAGUGGCGAAGGCGACUUUCUGGACUGUGUCUGACGCUGAGGCGCGAAAGCCAGGGGGAGCGAACGGGGAUUAGAUACCCCCGGUAGUCCUGGCCGUAAACGAUGGGGUACUAGGUGUGGGAGGUAUCGACCCCCUUUCCGUGCCGGAGUUAACGCAAUAAGUACCCCCGCCUGGGGGAGUACGGUCGCAAGACUGAAACUCAAAUGAAUUGACGGGGGUCAUAGCUGUUUUCCUG
RNAcentral lists this ribosomal RNA (599 nucleotides) under uncultured bacterium. RNAcentral's name for it is "partial 16S ribosomal RNA". It matches the Rfam family "Bacterial small subunit ribosomal RNA", at positions 355 to 1363 of the family's 1533-position model. The record is from RNAcentral.